GACGAACGCUGGCGGCGUGCUUAACACAUGCAAGUCGAACGGAAAGGCCCUGCUUUUGUGGGGUUCUCGAGUGGCGAACGGGUGGGUAACACGUGAGUAACCUCCCCUUGACUUUGGGAUAACUUCUGGAAAAUGGGGCUAAUAACGCAUAGGAGCUCCUGCGGCAUGGUGGGGGUUGGAAAGAUUCGGCGUUUGGGGAUGGACUCGGGGGUUAUCAGCUUGUUGGUGUGGUUGUGGCUUACCCAGGCUAUGACGGGUAGCCGGCCUGAGAGGGUGAUCGGCCACACUGGAACGGAGACACGGACCAGACUACUACGAGAGGCAGCAGUCGGGUAUGGUAGGCAGCGGGCGAAAGCAUGACACAGCAACGCGGAGUCUGUGACGAAGGCCCUGGGAUCGUAAAGCUCGCUUUUGGGUUAAGAACCGCUUUCGACUGAGACAUAGAGUGAGUGACGGUAACGGAUAAAGAAGCACCGGCUAACUACGUG
RNAcentral lists this ribosomal RNA (488 nucleotides) under uncultured bacterium. RNAcentral's name for it is "partial 16S ribosomal RNA". It matches the Rfam family "Bacterial small subunit ribosomal RNA", at positions 28 to 507 of the family's 1533-position model. The record is from RNAcentral.